This 263-nucleotide unclassified non-coding RNA is filed under the name Hevea brasiliensis (rubber tree). The record is from RNAcentral. Lineage: Eukaryota; Viridiplantae; Streptophyta; Magnoliopsida; Malpighiales; Euphorbiaceae.
GUAGAAGGUAAUCAUGUUAGAUUGAGUGGUCAGGAUGUUGAAAGAGGUACAUUUAGUCACCGGCAUUCAGUAAUUCAUGAUCAAGAAACUGGGGAGAAGUAUUGCCCUCUGGACCAUGUUAUCAUGAACCAAAAUGAGGAGAUGUUUACUGUCAGUAACAGUUCUCUUUCAGAGUUUGGCGUUCUUGGAUUUGAACUGGGUUACUCAAUGGAAAGUCCGAAUUCAUUGGUAAUCUGGGAAGCUCAAUUUGGUGACUUUGCUAA